AUUGAACGCUGGCGGCAGGCCUAACACAUGCAAGUCGAACGAGUCGCGGACGGGUGAGUAAUGUCUGGGACACUGCCUGCUGGAGGGGGAUAACUACUGGAAACGGUAGCUAAUACCGCAUACCAUCAGAUGUGCCCAGCUGGGCUUAGCUAGUUGGUGGGGUAACGGCUCACCAAGGCGCCGAUCCCUAGCUGGUCUGAGAGGAUGACCGGGCACACGGGAACUUAGGCACGGUCCAGACGCCUACGGUAGGCAGCGGUGGGGAAUAUGGGGCAAUGGGAGAAAGCCUGAUGCAGCCAUGCCGCGUGGAUGAAGAGGGCCUGCGGGUUGUAAAGUACUUUCAGCGGGGAGGCGGUACCCGCAGAAGAAGCACCGGCUAACUACGUGCCAGCAGCCGCGGUAAUUC
Molecule: ribosomal RNA, 406 nt
Filed under: uncultured bacterium
Lineage: Bacteria
Description: partial 16S ribosomal RNA
Rfam family: Bacterial small subunit ribosomal RNA
Source: RNAcentral